This 107-nucleotide small nuclear RNA is filed under the name Canis lupus familiaris (dog). Lineage: Eukaryota; Metazoa; Chordata; Mammalia; Carnivora; Canidae. The record is from RNAcentral.
GUGCUCACUUUGGCAGCAAAUACACUAAAAUUAGAAGGAUACAGAGAAGAUUAGCAUGGCUCCUGCACAAGGAUGACAUACAAAUUUGUGAAGUGUUCCAUAUUUUU